AUGGAAAACAAGGCCUCUCAGCCUACAGAAGAUGGUCAGGAAUCGAACUAUGCGACCGAGGUUGUAGCUGCAGUGCUUGCUAAGCACACUAGGAACCAAGGUUUCUUCAGCAUGUGUGGGGAUCCAACAUGUCCAUCUGAGAUCAAAGCGAUAGCAACUGUCAAGCAGAAUUGGCAAAGAGGGGUAUUGUCGAGCUUCAGGCGCUUGUUAACACCUUGA
RNAcentral lists this ribosomal RNA (219 nucleotides) under Triticum aestivum (bread wheat). RNAcentral's name for it is "partial small subunit ribosomal RNA". Lineage: Eukaryota; Viridiplantae; Streptophyta; Magnoliopsida; Poales; Poaceae. The record is from RNAcentral.